This 478-nucleotide ribosomal RNA is filed under the name uncultured bacterium. RNAcentral describes it as "partial 16S ribosomal RNA". It matches the Rfam family "Bacterial small subunit ribosomal RNA", at positions 28 to 523 of the family's 1533-position model. The record is from RNAcentral.
GACGAACGCUGGCGGCGUGCUUAACACAUGCAAGUCGAACGGUAAGGCCCUUCGGGGUACACGAGUGGCGAACGGGUGAGUAACACGUGGGUGAUCUGCCCUGCACUUCGGGAUAAGCCUGGGAAACUGGGUCUAAUACCGGAUAGGACCACUGCCUGCAUGGGUGGUGGUGGAAAGCUUUUGCGGUGUGGGAUGGGCCCGCGGCCUAUCAGCUUGUUGGUGGGGUGAUGGCCUACCAAGGCGACGACGGGUAUCCGGCCGGAGAGGGUGACCGGCCACACUGGGACUGAGAUACGGCCCAGACUCCUACGGGAGGCAGCAGUGGGGAAUAUUGCACAAUGGGCGCAAGACUGAUGCAGCGACGCCGCGUGAGGGAUGACGGCCUUCGGGUUGUAAACCUCUUUCAGCACCGACGAAGCGCAAGUGACGGUAGGUGCAGAAGAAGGACCGGCCAACUACGUGCCAGCCGCCGCUGUAA